GUGCUCUCUUCAACAGCACAUAUACUAAAAUUGGGAUGAUACAGGUAAGAUUAGCACGGCCCCUGUGCAAGAAUGACAUGCAAAAUCGUGAAGUGUUCCAUAUUUUU
Small nuclear RNA from Phodopus roborovskii (desert hamster), 107 nucleotides. Lineage: Eukaryota; Metazoa; Chordata; Mammalia; Rodentia; Cricetidae. The record is from RefSeq and is a predicted model, not a curated record.